Molecule: non-coding RNA, 72 nt
Organism: Potamilus streckersoni
Lineage: Eukaryota; Metazoa; Mollusca; Bivalvia; Unionida; Unionidae
Source: the annotation of a GenBank genome assembly
GUGGCCUAGUGGUUAGAGCGUCCGCCUCGGAUGCGGAAGGUCGUAUGUUCGUUCCCGGGUCGAGUCAUACCA